This is a long non-coding RNA of Pantherophis guttatus, 415 nucleotides long. RefSeq lists it as uncharacterized. The record is from RefSeq and is a predicted model, not a curated record. Lineage: Eukaryota; Metazoa; Chordata; Lepidosauria; Squamata; Colubridae.
GAUUUUGAACAGAAAAGUAUACAAUUAAAACAUUGGCUUAAAUGGAAACCCUACAACUGGAUACCUAUGAAGUAAAAUUGGUUUCUGAAAUGGCAUUUCAGCAAAUUGUUACAAAUGUGAUACCUUACUCACCAUAUGCAGUUCAAAGCCAAAUGUGUUGAAAUACUGUUUUAAAAAAUGAUGAACAACUGUCUGGAGUUGUAACAGGAUGGACGAAGGCCAGCAAAAUGAAGAUAAACUUGGACAAGAUGAAGGCACUCUGAAUAAAUAGUUCUACUUCAAGAUAUCUAGAGGAAUCCAUCACCAACACAAUCGAUUUGCUCUUCCUCUUAGGAAAUUCUAAUAAUCAAUCAGAAUCUGCUGUUCUGUAACCUGUCCUGCACUUGGAAAUAAUAAAGAAUAGGAUUUGGCGAUC